Molecule: non-coding RNA, 146 nt
Organism: Podarcis lilfordi (Lilford's wall lizard)
Lineage: Eukaryota; Metazoa; Chordata; Lepidosauria; Squamata; Lacertidae
Source: the annotation of a GenBank genome assembly
CUUUCAGUAGCACCUUAGAGACCAACUAAAUUUGUUAUGGGUAUGGAGCUUUCAUGUGCAUGCACACUUCUUCAGAUACAGUGUGCAUGCACACGAAAGCUCAUACCCAUAACAAACUUAGUUAGUCUCUAAGGUGCUACUGGAAG